GAGAGGAGAGAACAGGAGAGGAGAGGAGAGGAGAGGAGAGGACAGGGUUUCUCUGUGUAGCCCUAGCUGUCCUGGAUCUCACUCUGUAGACCAGGCUAGCCUUGAACUCAGAGAGCCACCUGCCUCCGCCUCUGCCUCCUGAAUGCUGAUAUCAAAGGCGCCACCACUGCCUGACUGAUCUUAAAGUUAACCAGGAGCUCGGAAUGUACCUGUACAGUGUCUGUCUCUACACAAAGCCCUGGAUUUGACCGCUAGCCCCAGAUAGUCCAGGCAUACUUGUCAUCCCAGCACUUGGGAGACUGACUAGGUGGGAGGAUGAAGGAGAGUUCAAGGCCAGCCUGAGCUACAUACUGAGAACCUGUCUCAAAACGGACGGGAAAGGAGGAAUACCACCUCUGCUGAAGAGACAGGCAUCCACCCAGGAUGAGCCGACCAAACUUUAUGGCAUAAAAGAGCACAGCCAAGAUUGCCUUAUGGCCUUACCCAGAAGUCUUCAGGGUACGAGCCCUCCUACGAUAGGUACUCGUAGGAGACCUGGACCGGCUCAGAGGGUCCAGCGGGUGCCUCACCUGUCAUCAUUCCACCCCCAUCCCACCUCCGUCUCCUCUUCUGCCCUUUCCCUCAGGUCUCAGCCCAGCCUUCUUGUUUUAUCCUAUCCAGGGAGUAGCCAGAUGUCUGCGUUUGGUGUUGCACCCCUGGCAGCUGCCAGUCAACCCAACAGCCUUGCAGAUGUGGGUGGCCUCCUGGAACCCAGGAUGGCUGCUGGAGGUCUCCCUGGCAGUGUUUUCGGGAUGCCCAGCCAGGUUCCUGCCCUACAGUCGGCUGUGCCAGGGGUUGGCGGCAGCACAGGGCUCCCCUUUGGAGCCUUCACCAAUCCCUUCACCACCCCUGCCCAACCCCAGCUGCCUUCCACCAACCCAUUCCAGCCCAAUGGUAUAGCCUCAGGUAAGUCCCCAGAACCGAUUCUACGUUCUUUAGAGUACUGGCUCUCCUCGACCUAUGUCUCUCACUAACCAAAGAGUAGACAGCAUCCUGCUCCUCCCCCACCACUGCCCGCCAACCCAGGACAGUCCCAUCUGCAAAUCCAAGCCACCUAGUGGUCUAAACAUAGAAGCAUCCAUGCCACAAUGAACAGAAAGUCACAGAAAAAGUGCCACGUGGUGCUGUGCCCCUGUAACACCAGUACUGCUGAAGAGAGGAUCAUCACAGGUUCAAGGACAGGCGGGGUACAUGGUAGGGUCCGGGCCAGCCUGGUCUACAUAGUGAGACUCUGUCUCAAAAAGAAAAGAUUUAAAGGAAGAAAGGAAGGAAGUCAAGAAAGAAUUGGGUGAGUGGAGGAGAGGAAGGGAGGGGGAGGGAGGCAUGCCUUUCCCCCAAGUCGGUU
This 1384-nucleotide long non-coding RNA is filed under the name Rattus norvegicus (Norway rat). RNAcentral's name for it is "long non-coding RNA NONRATT033956". The record is from RNAcentral. Lineage: Eukaryota; Metazoa; Chordata; Mammalia; Rodentia; Muridae.